AAACAGAAUUCGAAUGCACAUUGCACCAUCGCGGUUGAUUCCCGAUGGUACGUCUCGGUUGAGGGUCAA
Molecule: ribosomal RNA, 69 nt
Filed under: Dirofilaria immitis (dog heartworm nematode)
Lineage: Eukaryota; Metazoa; Nematoda; Chromadorea; Rhabditida; Onchocercidae
Description: partial 5.8S ribosomal RNA
Source: RNAcentral